UUUUAACUCAAUACCCCCCACCCAAACGAAACCCUCCAUCUAUACUGAAUGACUUCAUACCCUAUGAAGGACCAUAUGCUAAAACUAGUAACAAGAAGAAGACCUUCUCCAAAAUGCAAGCGUAAGUCAUUAUGAACAACUCACUGACACUUAACGUUUUUGAAUCUAAAGUAGUAACUUAUCAAGAAAAUUCUACUAGACAUCACGUCAACCUUACACCAGAGCAUUACCGGAAAGAUUAAAAGAAGGGGAAGGAACUCGGCAAAUAUUAACCCCGCCUGUUUACCAAAAACAUCGCCUCCUGACUACUCUAUAGGAGGUCUAGCCUGCCCAGUGACUUAGUUAAACGGCCGCGGUACCCUAACCGUGCAAAGGUAGCGCAAUCACUUGUUCUUUAAAUGAGGACUAGUAUGAACGGCAUCACGAGGGUUACACUGUCUCCCCCCUCUAAUCAGUGAAACUGAUCUCCCCGUGAAGAAGCGGGGAUAAACAUAUAAGACGAGAAGACCCCAUGGAGCUUUAAACUCAGUAUCACCUGCCUUACUCUAUACCCAUUUAAUCACGCAGUUUUGAAUACUAGUUUUCGGUUGGGGUGACCGCGGAGUAAAACAAAACCUCCUCGAUGAACGGAACAAUACUCCUAAUCCAAGAGCUACAGCUCUAAGAAUCAAAAAAUUGACAAAAAUUGAUCCAAAUAUAUUUGAUCAACGAACCAAGUUACCCUGGGGAUAACAGCGCAAUCUACUUCAAGAGCUCCUAUCGACAAGUGGGUUUACGACCUCGAUGUUGGAUCAGGGUAUCCUAGUGGCGCAGCCGCUACUAAAGGUUC
RNAcentral lists this ribosomal RNA (829 nucleotides) under Microhyla annamensis (Vietnam rice frog). RNAcentral describes it as "partial large subunit ribosomal RNA". It matches the Rfam family "Bacterial large subunit ribosomal RNA", at positions 1603 to 2574 of the family's 2925-position model. Lineage: Eukaryota; Metazoa; Chordata; Amphibia; Anura; Microhylidae. The record is from RNAcentral.